Molecule: ribosomal RNA, 468 nt
Filed under: uncultured bacterium
Lineage: Bacteria
Description: partial 16S ribosomal RNA
Rfam family: Bacterial small subunit ribosomal RNA
Source: RNAcentral
GACGAACGCUGGCGGCGUGCUUAACACAUGCAAGACGAACGGAAAGGCCCUGCUUUUGUGGGGUGCUCGAGUGGCGAACGGGUGAGUAACACGUGAGUAACCUGCCCUUGACUUUGGGAUAACUUCAGGAAACUGGGGCUAAUACCGGAUAGGAGCUCCUGCUGCAUGGUGGGGGUUGGAAAGUUUCGGCGGUUGGGGAUGGACUCGCGGCUUAUCAGCUUGUUGGUGGGGUAGUGGCUUACCAAGGCUUUGACGGGUAGCCGGCCUGAGAGGGUGACCGGCCACAUUGGGACUGAGGUACGGCCCAGACUCCUACGGGAGGCAGCAGGGGGGAAUAUUGCACAAUGGGCGGAAGCCUGAUGCAGCAACGCCGCGUGCGGGAUGACGGCCUUCGGGGUGUAAACCGCUUUCGCCUGUGACGAAGCGUGAGUGACGGUAAUGGGUAAAGAAGCACCGGCUAACUACGUG